UUACAGGAAUGUAAGGGUGUAUGGUGGAUGCCUAGGCUUCAAGAAGCGAUGAAGGACGUGAUAUGGCUGCGAUAAGUUUCGGUGAGGUGCCAAAUAACCUUUGACCCGGAAAUUUCCGAAUGGGGAAACCUACCUGUCAUCGGCAGGUGUUCUUGUAUGAGAACGCGUACCCAGGGAAGUGAAACAUCUCAGUACCUGGAGGAAAAGAAAGCAAUAGACGGAAAUUUCUUUCUGAACGGAUGCUUAGCAUCUCGUUUUGGAGCAAUCUUUAGCGGUGGUGCGCGACCUAUUUUUUAAGGAGCGAAAGCGACUAUAAAAAAGGAAGUGCCCUAGUGGUGCAAAGCGCCAUUACGUUUAGGAAGAAGUUUCUUGCGAUUCCCUUAGUAGCGGCGAGCGAAACGGGAAUAGCCCAAACCAUACGUAUUUAUACGUGUGGGGUUGUAGGGCAAAGAUGGCAUUUAGUUGCGAAGAGUUACAAAAUGUAUAUAUAGGAAAAUGUGCUGGAAAGCAUGACCCCAGAAGGUAAUAGUCCUGUAUUCGAAAUGUAUACAACUCUUUGAUCUUUGUUCCUGAGUAGUUCGAGACAUGAAUAGCUCGGAUGAAUCUGCCAGCACUAACUGGUAAGGCUAAAUAUUCUUGAAGACCGAUAGUGAACAAGUACCGUGAGGGAAAGGUGAAAAGAACCCCGGAGAGGGGAGUGAAAUAGAUCUGAAACCAUACACCUACAAGGAGUCGGAGCCUCAAUUUAUUGGGGUGACGGCGUGCCUAUUGAAGAAUGAGCCGGCGAGUGUACCUUUGUCCUUUGUCUAAGUGGUAUUCCCACGGAGGCACAGUGAAAGCGAGCGUGAAUAGCGCGAAAUUAUAGGGCAGGGGUACGACCCGAAGCGGGAUGAGCUUGCCAUGAGCAGGGUGAAGCGACUGUAAUAGGUCGUGGAGGCCCGAACCGGUUGGCCGUACAAAACCAUCGGAUGACUUGUGGUAAGGAGUGAAAAGCUUAUCGAAUUCCGUAAUAGCUGGUUCUCUCCGAAACAGCUUUUGGGUUGGCGUCGCGUGGUCCCCCUGGGGGUAGAGCACUGGAAGGAACAAACAGGGAGAAAUCUCGUUGUUCCUAUCAAACUCCGAAUACCAGUGGAUUAUAGCGCGGCAGUUAGACUAUGGGGGAGAAGCUCCAUUGGUCGAAAGGGAAACAGCCCAGAUCGCCAGUUAAGGUCCCUAAAUAUAUGCUCAGUGCAAAACGAGGAUGUGAGGAUUCAUAAACAGUGAGGAGGUUGGCUUAGAAGCAGCCAUCCUUUAAAGAAAGCGUAACAGCUCACUCAUCGAGAGUCCUUGCGCCGAAGAUAAUCGGGGCUCAAGCAUAUUACCGAAACUGCGGAUUCGUAGUAAUACGAGUGGUAGGAGAGCGUCCUUCUCUGCGAUGAAUUCAAGGCGAGAGCCAAGAUGGAGCGAGGAGGAGUGAGAAUGCCGGCACAAGUAACCGCAAGACGGGUGAGACCCCCGUCCGCCGAAAUACCGAGGUUUCCUUUGCGAUGUUGAUCAGCGAAGGGUUAGUCGGUCCUAAGGGAAUCCCGAAAGGGGGACUCGAUGGAUAGCAGGUUAAUAUUCCUGCACACCGCUAUGUUUCUAUGGAGGGACGGAGCGUUGUACUUACAGCAUCUUAUUGGAUUGAUGUUGGAGCACUGAGGGAGUCACGUAGGUAAAUCCGCGUGGCAAUAUUCCGAGGUGAGUCUAGAGGUGAGACUUCGGUCAAGCCGAUUGUAAGGAGCACGCUUCCGAGAAAAACUUCGUUUGGGUUAAACAUAGUGGUUCCGUACCGCAAACCGACACAGGUGGUAGAGUCGAGAAGACUAAGGCGAACGAGUGAGAGGUCCUCAAGGAACUCGGCAAAAAAGCGGCCGUAACUUAGGGAUAAGGCCUGCCUCUUGGGUGACCAAGGGGCCGCAGCGAAAGAUUUCCUGGCGACUGUUUAACAAAAACACAGCUCUCUGCGAACACGUAAGUGGAUGUAUAGAGGGUGACGCCUGACCUAUGCUGGAAGGUUAAAUACGGGGGGUGAUAUGAGAUUCGUCUUGUAUUGCUGGACUGUAUAAGCCCCAGUAAAUGUCAGCGAUAACUAUAAUCGUUCUAAGGUUUGGUGUGGGUAGAAAUACGUACACCAAAGGACUAGAACGAUUAUAGGUUAGACAGCCUAGCCAUAGUUACCUUCUACACAGUAAUGUGAUAGAUAGUCCAAAUCUAGCCAACAAGAGACCAAAUGCUAGACAUCCAAGUGCUUGUAAAAGUAACGGAUGAAGAUAGAGUCCUAUUGUGAAAUGCGUACUUAGAAAUAAGUACGAGAAGGGAAUAUAGAGCGUAUUUCCUUGUCGGGUAAGUUCCGACGUGCACGAAUGGCGUAACGACUGGGAAACUGUCUCGAGGACCUGCUCGGUGAAAAUACAAUACCGGUAAAGAUGCCGGUUACCUGCAGAUAGACGAAAAGACCCCAGGAGCUUUACUGUAGCUUCGUAUUGGGGCUAUUGAAUUGAUGCGUAGCAUAGGUGGAAGACUUUGAAGCGGGCUUUCGGGUACCGUGGAGUCGCCAGUGAAAUACCACCCUUCAUUUUGGUAGUCUCUAACCAAAUAGGCAAAACCUAUUUGAGACAGUGCGUGGCAGGCAGUUUUAGUGGGGCGCUACCCUCCCAAAAAGUAACGGAGGGGUCUCAAGGUUGGUUAGUCGCGAAUGGAAACCGUGACGAUAGUGUAAUGGCAUAAACCAGCUUGACUGUAAGGCGUAGAUGCCGAACAGACACGAAAGUGGAGCAUAGUGAACCGAUGGUACGCGUUAGAUGCGGCCGGAGAUUACCCGAUAAAAGUUACCCUGGGGAUAACAGGCUAGUCGUGCCCAAGCGUCCAUAGCGACGGCACGGUUCGGCACCUCGAUGUCGGCUCGACUUAUCCUGGGGCUGGAGCAGGUCCCAAGGGUUUGGCUGUUCGCCAAUUAAAAAGUCACGUGAGCUGGGUUUAGACCGUCGUGAGACAGGUUGGUCUCCUAUCUACUGCAGGCGUCGAUUCUUGAGGAGAGUUGUCCCUAGUACGAGAGGACCGGGAUGAACGAACCUCUGGUCUAUCAGCUGUCACGCCAGUGGCAUUGCUGAGUAGCUAUGUUCGGAAUGGAUAACCGCUGAAAGCAUCUAAGCGGGAAGCCAACUCCAAGAUUAGGAAUCAUUAAGUCCCCUAAGAGAUGAUUAGGUUGAUAGGCACUAAGUGGAAGUACAGUAAUGUAUGGAGCUGAGGUGUACUAAUAGGACGUAAUUCCUGUAAGG
Molecule: non-coding RNA, 3299 nt
Organism: Parcubacteria bacterium OLB19
Lineage: Bacteria; Candidatus Parcubacteria
Source: Rfam